RNAcentral lists this ribosomal RNA (778 nucleotides) under uncultured bacterium. RNAcentral's name for it is "bacterial SSU rRNA". It matches the Rfam family "Bacterial small subunit ribosomal RNA", at positions 8 to 796 of the family's 1533-position model. The record is from RNAcentral.
AGAGUUUGAUCAUGGCUCAGGACGAACGCUGGCGGCGUGCUUAACACAUGCAAGUCAAGGGGGCCCAGCAAUGGGCAACCGGCGAACGGGUGCGUAACACGUGAGCAACCUACCGAACUGUGGGGGAUAGCCGGCCUAACGGCCGAGUAAUACCGCAUACGCUUUCAUUGAGGCAUUUCAGUGAAAGGAAACCUACGGGACAGAUCGAGGGGCUCGCGGCCUAUCAGCUAGUUGGCGAGGUAACGGCUCACCAAGGCUACGACGGGUAGCUGGUCUGAGAGGAUGGCCAGCCACAUUGGGACUGAGAUACGGCCCAGACUCCUACGGGAGGCAGCAGUGGGGAAUCUUGCGCAAUGGCCUAACGGCUGACGCAGCGACGCCGCGUGUGGGAUGAAGCUCUUCGGAGUGUAAACCACUGUUGCCCGGGACGAAUAGCUCGAUUAAUCGAGCCUGACGGUACCGGGUGAGGAAGCACCGGCUAACUCCGUGCCAGCAGCCGCGGUAAUACGGGGGGUGCGAGCGUUGUCCGGAAUCACUGGGCGUAAAGGGCGCGUAGGUGGUUUGAUAAGGGUGUGGUGAAAGUCCGGGGCUCAACCCCGGAUCUGCCGUGCCGACUGUCAAACUCGAGGGCUGUAGAGGCAGACGGAAUUCCGGGUGUAGCGGUGGAAUGCGUAGAGAUCCGGAGGAAGACCGGUGGCGAAGGCGGUCUGCUGGGCAGUUUCUGACACUGAUGCGCGACAGCGUGGGGAGCAAACAGGAUUAGAUACCCCCGUAGUCC